Molecule: ribosomal RNA, 478 nt
Filed under: uncultured bacterium
Lineage: Bacteria
Description: partial 16S ribosomal RNA
Rfam family: Bacterial small subunit ribosomal RNA
Source: RNAcentral
GAUGAACGCUGGCGGCGUGCCUAACACAUGCAAGUCGAACGGAGUCCAGCCUUUAAGACCUUCUGGUCAAAGAGGGGAAGACUGAGUGGCGGACGGGUGAGUAACACGUGGGCAACCUGGCUCAUAGAGGGGGAUAACAGAGAGAAAUUUCUGCUAAUACCGCAUAAGCACACACUUCCGCAUGGCAGAGGGUGAAAAGAGAAUCGCUAUGAGAUGGACCCGCGUCUGAUUAGCCAGGUUGCAGGGUAAGAGCCUACCAAAGCGACGAUCAGUAGCCGAUCUGAGAGGAUGAACGGCCACAUUGGGACUGAGACCCGGCCCCAACUCCUACGGGAGGCAGCAGUAGGGGAUAUUACACAAUGGGGCGAACCCUGAUGAAGCGACGCCGCGUGAGUGAAGAAGUAGUUUGGUAUGUAAAGCUCUAUCAGCAGGGAGGAUAAUGACAGUACCUGAAUAAGAAGCCCCGGCUAACUACGUG